AUGGCCUAUAACUCCUUUUUAUUGAGUUUGGUUGGUGUAUAUCGCAAUUAAAUCCCUUGGACUCAGCCACACGUUGAUCCAUUUUCCAUCCAACACCUCACAGUCAAGUCACCUGAUGAGUCCUGUUCGUUAAGUCAACUUAUUCAUUUCAUCUCCACUUCACUUUCCUUAGGCAAUAAUUUUCCUUGGUUUGUUAAGCCUCAUCAUUUGCCAUCUUCAUCACCUAAAGAAUAAAUAAACCAAAAUCAGCAUGAAUGAUUGCCUAAGCUCCUGAGCAAAUUCAGGUUAACCCUCCAUAUAUGGCUUCAUUGUUUGAGAGGGAAUGAUGGGUUAAAGGGCUUUUGGGCCUCGAAUCUGUAAUCUGGUUUUAGCAUCAGUCAGAUUAAAGCUUUGGCUCUCAGCCACACAUUCAUACUCAGUCACCAGCUGAUUCACUGUUAUUGAUCAGCAUCCCCUUGUACACAGUUGCCGCUACAAUUUCUCCAUAUUGGCCGGAAGCGUUCCUUCUUAAUUCUCUCUUAAGUCACUUAAUUAACAAGAGAAGGGUGGAAAACAAGUAAAUGGCCUCAGCUGCAGUUGACCAAGUGAUUGGAAUAAUAGUGUCUGCUCUUCAGAAGGAAGCAACAUUAUUAGUAGGUGUCAGAGAUGAACUUGACGAAAUCAGGAAAGAACUACAAAUCGCGAAAUCUUUUCUACAGGAUGCUGAGAGAAAGCCUGUCAUGUCAGACGUAGAGAAGGCAUGGGUUGCAGAUGUGAGGGACAGUGCGC
This 768-nucleotide unclassified non-coding RNA is filed under the name Hevea brasiliensis (rubber tree). The record is from RNAcentral. Lineage: Eukaryota; Viridiplantae; Streptophyta; Magnoliopsida; Malpighiales; Euphorbiaceae.